This 466-nucleotide ribosomal RNA is filed under the name uncultured bacterium. Its description in RNAcentral is "bacterial SSU rRNA". It matches the Rfam family "Bacterial small subunit ribosomal RNA", at positions 28 to 521 of the family's 1533-position model. The record is from RNAcentral.
GAUGAACGCUAGCGGUGUGCCUAAUGCAUGCAAGUCGAACGGGAUCCUUUGGAUUCGUCUGAAGGUGAGAGUGGCGAACGGGUGAGUAACACGUAGGUGACCUGCCCCGGAGAGGGGGACAACCACUGGAAACGGUGGCUAAUACCCCAGAUGUUAUUGCGCUUAGAAAGCAAUUACUAAAGUUCCGGCGCUCCCGGAGGGGCCUGCGGCCCAUCAGCUUGUUGGUAAGGUAAUGGCUUACCAAGGCUAAGACGGGUAGGGGGCGUGAGAGCGUGACCCCCCCACACUGGUACUGAGACACGGACCAGAUACCUGCGGGUAGCAGCAGCAAGGAAUAUUGCCCAAUGGACGAAAGUCUGAGGCAGCAACACCGCGUGGAGGAUGAAGGCCUGGUGUAACUCUUUCUGGGAGAGAAGGACGGUACCCAGGAAUAAGUCUCGGCUAACUACGUGCCAGCAGCCGCGGU